Amblyraja radiata (thorny skate) is the source of this 152-nucleotide long non-coding RNA. RefSeq lists it as uncharacterized. The transcript has 5 exons. NCBI's taxonomy places the organism in Eukaryota, Metazoa, Chordata, Chondrichthyes, Rajiformes, Rajidae. The record is from RefSeq and is a predicted model, not a curated record.
GCGAUAACGGAGAACUUUUUACAUAUUCCGGUAGAGAUUUACAACAUGAAUUCAAAAAUCUCCUCAUCUGAAAAUGUGGUUAAUUAUUUCCCGGGUUUUUAAAUAAAAAUUCAUUACAAAAUCUAAAUUGAUUUUUUUUCCCAAAUCAAACC